AACGAACGCUGGCGGCAGGCCUAACACAUGCAAGUCGAACGCUCCGCAAGGAGAGUGGCAGACGGGUGAGUAACACGUGGGAAUCUUCCUAUUGGUGUGGAAUAGCUCAGGGAAACUUGAGGUAAUACCGCAUAAGCCCUCCGGGGGAAAGAUUUAUCGCCGAUAGAUGAGCCCGCGUCUGAUUAGCUAGUUGGUGGGGUAACGGCCUACCAAGGCGACGAUGCUUAGCGGAUCUGAGAGGAUGAUCCGC
Molecule: ribosomal RNA, 250 nt
Filed under: uncultured bacterium
Lineage: Bacteria
Description: partial 16S ribosomal RNA
Rfam family: Bacterial small subunit ribosomal RNA
Source: RNAcentral